This 1546-nucleotide long non-coding RNA is filed under the name Cyanistes caeruleus (blue tit). Its description in RNAcentral is "lncRNA (ENSCCEG00000000924.1)". The stretch from base 635 to 717 matches the Rfam family "mir-181 microRNA precursor family". The record is from RNAcentral. Lineage: Eukaryota; Metazoa; Chordata; Aves; Passeriformes; Paridae.
GGGCCCUCUGCCUUACAGGAAGAACAAUGUUCAGAGAGCUCAGCUUUCUGCUGGGCUCACCCUCACCUAAUCCUCAUGUUCCUCUUCCUUCAGCCCAUGAGAAUGUGGCACAUUUCUGACUGAACCCAGGUGCUACCUCUCUUCCCUUCUGUCUGCUCCUGAAGACUGCUCUGCCAAAAGACUUAAGAAAGAAAGGACUGACAAAUCACCACAGAGCUGCAGACCAGCAACGAAGGGAGCUGAGGGCAAUUUGACCAACAUCAUCUGUGUCGGUUCCCCAGAUGUCAAUGAAACACGUAAUCGGGUCUCCAAGACCACAAGCCUCAGAAGAUCACUGUGGAAGAAACACACUGGGCCAACCCAUCCUGUUGAUAUGACACAAAGUGCAGCCCAGUUUGGUAUUCUUUAAACUCUGAAGGAGUCUCACACCAGAAAGAAGUCUGGGAAACUACCAGCUCCUUGCAGAAAGACUGAAACAUGAUGGGCAGAGAAGGGUGUUGGUGUCGGUAAGAGAAAAAUGAUUGAAGUUGCAUCAUCUGUAUGAUUAAAAUCACUGUGUGAAUUUUGAUUUUCCCCCCCACUACUUUCAGACAUUUGAGGAUGCAGUCAAGUCAAUGGAGUUCUGUUGUAGUGGUUGCUUCAGUGAACAUUCAACGCUGUCGGUGAGUUUGGAAUUAAAGUGAAAACCAUCGACCGUUGAUUGUACCCUCCAGCUAACCAUCCUCCUCCUUACUUCAUGCUUUCAGGCCUUAACACCGAAGAUAGCAACCUAACCAUCAUAUGAUGUUUCUCCCUCACCCUGCCAAGCUUUACAAAAAGGUCACAAUCAACAUUCAUUGCUGUCGGUGGGUUUAACUAUGUGGACAAGCUCACUGAACAAUGAAUGCAACUGUGGCCUCACAUUGUACAGUUGCCGUUGAGAGGAGUAGCAGCUCUGAAGGCAAUAGUGAGAAGCAAACACUUCUUUUAAGCUACAGUUUUCUGCUCAGAAAAAUAGUUGGGGGUGUCCAGUUUUUGCUUGUUUGGUUUUGAGUGCAUUUAACUUAGCUGACUGGAAAAGAAAACCCACUGUGUUUUUCUUGGGUAUUGUCCUCACCAGGUCCAGUGCCACUGAAAAUGUGAAAGUUCUUAUUUAGUAUGUGUGCAGAAAAAAUAACAGGACAGGACACUCAGUAUAUCCACUCCUAAGGCCUCUAACAUAAGAGAAAAGAAUAUUUAGUUGUCAUUUAACUGGGCAUUGUUGAAGAGUUCAAAAGUUUAUUCUAUACUUGUCAUGACAUAUACAGCUGGGAACAAAUGGGAUUUAAGAGUUACGGAUAAAAACGUUAUGUCAAAAAAUAUUAAUUAAUUUUACAUGAAACUGAUUUUAAGAACACAAAUACUAUUGCAUUUGCUAUUUUUGGGGAUCUGAAAGAUGGCAGAGAAAUGUAUAUCCAGAAAUAAUAAUGGAAAAGAGUUAAAUUGUAAAGUUGUUGAAUUGUAAACCGAGUACCUAUGUCACGCUCUGAGUUUUGCAAUAAGAAAAUAAAAUGUAAAUAAGCUCACA